UGCAACACAGUCUCUGUCCUUUUCAUUCUAAUGGGAGAUGCAAAGCACUAUGGCAGGGGCAGGCAGAGGGCAAGAAUGAGUAAUACACAAAGUCAGUAAAGCUGAUCUUUGGGCCAAGGUUGUAACAUGGUCAGUCCCAGGUUGGAGACAACUAAUCUCAUUGUAAGACAGCUCUCAAUAUUUAAACAAAGCUAAAGUCUGCAUUAGAGCUCAAUGGUUGAUUGAAGUUGUAAUUAGUUAAGACGUAAUACUGGAGUGGACCGGGCUCCUUAUCCAAUAUGACUGGUGUCCUUAUAUGAAGCUGGUUAUGUGAAGACACAGACACACAGGGAGAAUGCCAUGAAGAUGGGAGAUGGUGCAACUACAAGCCAAGGAAUGCCGAAGACUGCUGGCAACCACCAGAAGAAGCUAGGAAGAGACAAGAAGGAUUUCCCUCCAGGUUUCAGAAAGAGUAUGGCUCUGCCAACACCUUCCUCUGAGACUUCUAGCCCCCAGAACUGUGAGAAAAUACAUUUCUCUGUUUAAAGCCACCCAGUUUAUGGUACUUUCUUCCUGCAGCCCUAGGAAUCUAAUGGCUAAUGAAGUCUGGGCCCAUGGUUCCCCCUCUGGAUGCCUCAUUCACAGAAAUGGUUCCAGGUGACCUGGGUGGUGUACAGCAGUCCCUGCUUAUCUGCAGUUUCACUUUUCACAGCUUAAGUUAACCUAUGGUCAACAGCAGCCUAAAAAUAUUAA
Molecule: long non-coding RNA, 732 nt
Filed under: Homo sapiens (human)
Lineage: Eukaryota; Metazoa; Chordata; Mammalia; Primates; Hominidae
Description: HSALNT0088161
Source: RNAcentral